ACCAGUACCGUGAGGGAAAGGCGAAAAGAACCCCGGCGAGGGGAGUGAAAAAGAACCUGAAACCGUGUACGUACAAGCAGUGGGAGCACGCUUAGGCGUGUGACUGCGUACCUUUUGUAUAAUGGGUCAGCGACUUAUUUUCAGUGGCGAGCUUAACCGAAUAGGGGAGGCGUAGCGAAAGCGAGUCUUAAUAGGGCGUCUAGUCGCUGGGAAUAGACCCGAAACCGGGCGAUCUAUCCAUGGGCAGGUUGAAGGUUGGGUAACACUAACUGGAGGACCGAACCGACUAAUGUUGAAAAAUUAGCGGAUGACUUGUGGCUGGGGGUGAAAGGCCAAU
This 337-nucleotide ribosomal RNA is filed under the name Ochromonas sp. CCMP1393. Its description in RNAcentral is "partial Bacterial large subunit ribosomal RNA". It matches the Rfam family "Bacterial large subunit ribosomal RNA", at positions 494 to 833 of the family's 2925-position model. Lineage: Eukaryota; Chrysophyceae; Chromulinales; Chromulinaceae. The record is from RNAcentral.